RNAcentral lists this transfer RNA (74 nucleotides) under Nitrososphaeraceae archaeon. Its description in RNAcentral is "tRNA-Thr". It matches the Rfam family "tRNA". Rfam says of the family: Transfer RNA (tRNA) molecules are approximately 80 nucleotides in length. Their secondary structure includes four short double-helical elements and three loops (D, anti-codon, and T loops). Further hydrogen bonds mediate the characteristic L-shaped molecular structure. tRNAs have two regions of fundamental functional importance: the anti-codon, which is responsible for specific mRNA codon recognition, and the 3' end, to which the tRNAs corresponding amino acid is attached (by aminoacyl-tRNA synthetases). tRNAs cope with the degeneracy of the genetic code in two manners: having more than one tRNA (with a specific anti-codon) for a particular amino acid; and 'wobble' base-pairing, i.e. permitting non-standard base-pairing at the 3rd anti-codon position. Lineage: Archaea; Thermoproteati; Nitrososphaerota; Nitrososphaeria; Nitrososphaerales; Nitrososphaeraceae. The record is from RNAcentral.
GCCGCUGUAGCUCAGCAUGGUAGAGCAAAUUUAUUGUAACCAGUGGGUCAUCAGUUCGAGUCUGAUCAGCGGCG